Molecule: ribosomal RNA, 396 nt
Filed under: uncultured bacterium
Lineage: Bacteria
Description: partial 16S ribosomal RNA
Rfam family: Bacterial small subunit ribosomal RNA
Source: RNAcentral
AUACGUAGGUGGCAAGCGUUGUCCGGAAUUACUGGGUGUAAAGGGAGCGCAGGCGGGGAUGCAAGUUGGAUGUGAAAUACCGCAGCUUAACUGCGGAGCUGCAUCCAAAACUGUAUUUCUUGAGUGAAGUAGAGGUAGGCGGAAUUCCUAGUGUAGCGGUGAAAUGCGUAGAUAUUAGGAGGAACACCAGUGGCGAAGGCGGCCUACUGGGCUUUAACUGACGCUGAGGCUCGAAAGUGUGGGGAGCAAACAGGAUUAGAUACCCUGGUAGUCCACACUGUAAACGAUGAUUGCUAGGUGUGGGGGGACUGACCCCUUCCGUGCCGGAGUAAACACAAUAAGCAAUCCACCUGGGGAGUACGACCGCAAGGUUGAAACUCAAAUGAAUUGACGGGG